Molecule: non-coding RNA, 29 nt
Filed under: Homo sapiens (human)
Lineage: Eukaryota; Metazoa; Chordata; Mammalia; Primates; Hominidae
Source: RNAcentral
UGGGACUCCAAACUCGAGAAGGGGAAUCA